AGAACGAACGCUGGCGGCAUGCCUAACACAUGCAAGUCGAACGGAAAGGCCCGCUUGCGGGUACUCGAGUGGCGAACGGGUGAGUAACACGUGGGCAACCUGCCCUCAGCUCUGGGAUAACUCCGGGAAACCGGUGCUAAUACUGGAUAUCGACUUCUGCUCGCAUGGGUGGUUGUUGAAAGUUUUUCGGCUGGGGAUGGGCCCGCGGCCUAUCAGCUUGUUGGUGGGGUGAUGGCCUACCAAGGCGACGACGGGUA
RNAcentral lists this ribosomal RNA (257 nucleotides) under uncultured bacterium. RNAcentral's name for it is "partial small subunit ribosomal RNA". It matches the Rfam family "Bacterial small subunit ribosomal RNA", at positions 26 to 285 of the family's 1533-position model. The record is from RNAcentral.